ACUCCUACGGGAGGCAGCAGUGGGGAAUAUUGCACAAUGGGCGGAAGCCUGAUGCAGCAACGCCGCGUGAGGGAUGACGGCCUUCGGGUUGUAAACCUCUUUUAGCAAGGAAGAAGCGAAAGUGACGGUACUUGCAGAAAAAGCGCCGGCUAACUACGUGCCAGCAGCCGCGGUAAU
This 177-nucleotide ribosomal RNA is filed under the name uncultured Actinomycetes bacterium. Its description in RNAcentral is "uncultured actinobacterium partial 16S ribosomal RNA". It matches the Rfam family "Bacterial small subunit ribosomal RNA", at positions 335 to 524 of the family's 1533-position model. The record is from RNAcentral. Lineage: Bacteria; Bacillati; Actinomycetota; Actinomycetes.